Non-coding RNA from Haemonchus placei, 113 nucleotides. NCBI's taxonomy places the organism in Eukaryota, Metazoa, Nematoda, Chromadorea, Rhabditida, Trichostrongylidae. The record is from Rfam.
GACAGUCAUUGUUUCAGGUGCCAAAAACUUAUUUGGGUAUGUUGGUUGGUUCAAUUUGCGCUCUCAUGGGCGUAUUGACAAUUGCUUUACCAGUACCUGUUAUUGUAUCGAAU